Molecule: non-coding RNA, 1262 nt
Organism: Salmo salar (Atlantic salmon)
Lineage: Eukaryota; Metazoa; Chordata; Actinopteri; Salmoniformes; Salmonidae
Source: RefSeq, a predicted model, not a curated record
CUUGUAUCUCACUGGGUUGAUGGGUUGUGUUGAGGGCUUCUAUUCUGUUUCUUGCUUAUUUUGAAGUAAUUUAUUUUUUUAUGCAUUUCUUUAAUGGUGCAGUGUUAACGCAUUGUUUGUUUAUUGGAGAAGGGGUGUAUAGAUGGGCAAAAUGAGCAGAGGCAGGUUGCUGUAGUAACGGAGACUCUGGUGGGGCUGAGGAGGUGAGUACAGGGUCUGUGGGGAACGGUAAGCAUGCUGGUGGGGCUGAGGAGGUGAGGACAGGGUCUGUGGGGAACGGUAAGCAUGCUGGUGGGGCUGAGGAGGUGAGUACAGGGUCUGUGGGGAACGGUAAGCAUGCUGGUGGGGCUGAGGAGGUGAGUACAGGGUCUGUGGGGAACGGUAAGCAUGCUGGUGGGGCUGAGGAGGUGAGUACAGGGUCUGUGGGGAACGGUAAGCAUGCUGGUGGGGCUGAGGAGGUGAGGACAGGGUCUGUGGGGAACGGUAAGCAUGCUGGUGGGGCUGAGGAGGUGAGUACAGGGUCUGUGGGGAACGGUAAGCAUGCUGGUGGGGCUGAGGAGGUGAGUACAGGGUCUGUGGGGAACGGUAAGCAUGCUGGUGGGGCUGAGGAGGUGAGGACAGGGUCUGUGGGGAACGGUAAGCAUGCUGGUGGGGCUGAGGAGGUGAGUACAGGGUCUGUGGGGAACGGUAAGCAUGCUGGUGGGGCUGAGGAGGUGAGUACAGGGUCUGUGGGGAACGGUAAGCAUGCUGGUGGGGCUGAGGAGGUGAGGACAGGGUCUGUGGGGAACGGUAAGCAUGCUGGUGGGGCUGAGGAGGUGAGUACAGGGUCUGUGGGGAACGGUAAGCAUGCUGGUGGGGCUGAGGAGGUGAGGACAGGGUCUGUGGGGAACGGUAAGCAUGCUGGUGGGGCUGAGGUGAGUACAGGGUCUGUGGGGAACGGUAAGCAUGCUGGUGGGGCUGAGGAGGUGAGGACAGGGUCUGUGGGGAACGGUAAGCAUGCUGGUGGGGCUGAGGAGGUGAGUACAGGGUCUGUGGGGAACGGUAAGCAUGCUGGUGGGGCUGAGGAGGUGAGGACAGGGUCUGUGGGGAACGGUAAGCAUGCUGGUGGGGUUGAGGAGGUGAGGACAGGGUCUGUGGGGAACGGUAAGCAUGCUGGUGGGGCUGAGGAGGUGAGGACAGGGUCUGUGGGGAACGGUAAGCAUGCUGGUGGGGCUGAGGAGGUGAGUACAGGGUCUGUGGGGAACGGUAAGCAUGCUGAGGAG